RNAcentral lists this ribosomal RNA (257 nucleotides) under uncultured Glomus. Its description in RNAcentral is "partial 18S ribosomal RNA". It matches the Rfam family "Eukaryotic small subunit ribosomal RNA", at positions 624 to 886 of the family's 1831-position model. The record is from RNAcentral. Lineage: Eukaryota; Fungi; Glomeromycota; Glomeromycetes; Glomerales; Glomeraceae.
AAGCUCGUAGUUGAAUUUCGGGGUUAGUAGGUUGGUCAUGCCUCUGGUAUGUACUGGUCUCACUGAUUCCUCCUUCCUUAUGAACCGUAAUGCCAUUAAUUUGGUGUUGCGGGGAAUUUGGACUGUUACUUUGAAAAAUUAGAGUGUUUAAAGCAAGCUAACGCUUGAAUACAUUAGCAUGGAAUAAUGAAAUAGGACGUUCGAUCUUAUUUUGUUGGUUUCUAGGAUUGACGUAAUGAUUAAUAGGGAUAGUUGGG